This 480-nucleotide ribosomal RNA is filed under the name uncultured bacterium. Its description in RNAcentral is "partial 16S ribosomal RNA". It matches the Rfam family "Bacterial small subunit ribosomal RNA", at positions 28 to 523 of the family's 1533-position model. The record is from RNAcentral.
GACGAACGCUGGCGGCGUGCCUAACACAUGCAAGUCGAGCGAGUGAAUCUCCUUCGGGAGUGAAGCUAGCGGCGGACGGGUGAGUAACACGUGGGCAACCUGCCCCAUAGAGGGGAAUAGCCUUCCGAAAGGAAGAUUAAUACUGCAUAAGAUUGUAGCUUCGCAUGAAGUAGCAAUUAAAGGAGCAAUCCGCUAUGAGAUGGGCCCGCGGCGCAUUAGCUAGUUGGUGAGGUAACGGCUCACCAAGGCAACGAUGCGUAGCCGACCUGAGAGGGUGAUCGGCCACAUUGGGACUGAGACACGGCCCAGACUCCUACGGGAGGCAGCAGUGGGGAAUAUUGCACAAUGGGGGAAACCCUGAUGCAGCAACGCCGCGUGAGUGAUGACGGCCUUCGGGUUGUAAAGCUCUGUCUUCAGGGACGAUAAUGACGGUACCCGAGGAGGAAGCCACGGCUAACUACGUGCCAGCAGCCGCCGUAA